Molecule: ribosomal RNA, 460 nt
Filed under: uncultured bacterium
Lineage: Bacteria
Description: partial 16S ribosomal RNA
Rfam family: Bacterial small subunit ribosomal RNA
Source: RNAcentral
CCUACGGGUGGCAGCAGUGAGGAAUAUUGGUCAAUGGACGCAAGUCUGAACCAGCCAUGCCGCGUGCAGGAAGACGGCUCUAUGAGUUGUAAACUGCUUUUGUACGAGGGUAAACGCAGAUACGUGUAUCUGUCUGAAAGUAUCGUACGAAUAAGGAUCGGCUAACUCCGUGCCAGCAGCCGCGGUAAUACGGAGGAUUCAAGCGUUAUCCGGAUUUAUUGGGUUUAAAGGGUGCGUAGGCGGUCUGAUAAGUUAGCGGUGAAAUUCUGGUGCUCAACAUCGGAAGUGCCGCUGAUACUGCUGGGCUAGAGAGUAGUUGCGGUAGGCGGAAUGUAUGGUGUAGCGGUGAAAUGCUUAGAGAUCACACAGAACACCGAUUGCGAAGGCAGCCUGCUAAACUGUAACUGACGCUGAUGCACGAAAGUGUGGGUAUCAAACAGGAUUAGAUACCCGGGUAGUC